AACGUAGGGGACAAGCGUUAUCCGGAUUUACUGGGCGUAAAGCGCAUGUAGGUGGCUUGAAAAGUUGGACGUGAAAGCUCCCGGCUUAACUGGGAGAGGUCGUUCAAAACUGGCAAGCUUGAGGUUGGAAGAGGAGAGCGGAAUUCCCGGUGUAGUGGUGGAAUGCGUAGAUAUCGGGAGGAACACCAGUGGCGAAAGCGGCUCUCUGGUUCAAUACUGACACUGAGAUGCGAAAGCGUGGGGAGCGAACGGG
RNAcentral lists this ribosomal RNA (253 nucleotides) under uncultured bacterium. Its description in RNAcentral is "partial 16S ribosomal RNA". It matches the Rfam family "Bacterial small subunit ribosomal RNA", at positions 524 to 776 of the family's 1533-position model. The record is from RNAcentral.